CUUUCAAAGAGGGAGUUGGAGAGAGACCCGUCUGAGCGGAGUGCUUAGGGGAGACCUCUCCCCUUAGAGAAGUAGGCAGCCCUCUCCCCCCACCCCCACCCCCAGCCACAAAGAUAGGGAGGGGGCGCCAGCUGCCCACUCAGCCAGUGUCUCCCCUGAGCGCCCGCAGCGGACUUGGGUCGGAAGGGGCUGCUUCACCCCUCUGGGCCUCCAUCUCCUUUCCUGGAGGACCAAGGGCCACCGGUGCUCACCCCAAGGAGUCCCCAUGGGCAUCGGGCGAGAUGGGGCAGGCGGCGGUGCCUGGCGCCCAGGGAUGCUCACAGCAGGGGGACAAAGCCAGGCUAAGACCUCUCCCAGGGCCAGGCGCCCUCAGCCAGGGCCCCCUCAGCUUCCCCUGAGCCCGAGUUCCAGCUGCCAGGAUGUGAGCUGGCUCUCCUCGGCAAGCAAAGCCGCUGUAGGUGAGUUUGCCCAGAGAAAACCAGGGGCCUCCCCCGAAUACUCUCCAAACGGACCCCGUGCCCUCUCACGCUGCUUUCCCACUGCACAGCUGCAUUCCUGGAGGAUGACUCGGUGCCAAGGCGUUUUUAAUAGAAACGACCCUGUGGUCCACAGCCACCCCGGGAGGCGGAUGGGCCGUCAGGAGAAGGUCAUUUACAAAUGUGGAAACAGGCAGGAGGACCUGGCGGCCGGGUUCUAACCAGGCCGAGUCCCCACUGCAAACCCUGGGGCCGUGACACUCAUCUCAAAACCCUCGCUGUGUCCAUUGCUUUCUCGCCUAAAACGUUGUAAAAGGAAAAGCAACCCCUUUCUCGAAAGUCUCGGAUGGUUUGUUUGAUUAUUCUGCUCUUUGAGACAAAUAAUGGGAGAUUUAGACAGUUUUUUUUUUUUUUUUAGUUUCAUGUCUUAACCUAAUAUCCUCCAAUGUCAUGUGAUAAUAUCAGAAACUGGGAGCUUUUCUCUUAUGCUGAGUCAAAUGCUGAGAACAGAAAGGAACCAGCUCUAAAAAUCCUUUGCAUUCACCGACUUCUCUGCACGAUGGUGGCCACUCUUGCUGCGAAAAUGCUUCUACUUACGCCCUUUGUGCUAAGUGGGAUAGGGUCCGAUAUUUAAUGACUUACUCCCCAAAGCUUCAAGGAGCCAACACUGGCCCAAUGAUGAUAGAAGCCAUUGUGACAGGUGACACCGCGACGGGAAAACCAGGCAGAUGCCUCACCAGUGCCCUACGCUCUGGUUUGCUCUCUGAGCCCAGGGCCUGCUUUAGCGCUUGUCACGUAGUAGAUGCUUAAGCAGACCAGCCAGCGGCCUCUUCUCCCCGGAGGUGGGUCCCCUCUGGACAGGUGCCUCUGUGCCCACUUCACAGGCGGGCAGGCUGAGGACAGAAGAGUGCCCCAACUCCCCAGGGCCAUGCGACCUUUCAAGGCCACUGUGCCUGUGAAGUUAGCCUACCUGUGGGGGAGGGCAGGAGCGGACCUGAGCAAGAAGGAAAUACUCCCAGAGAAUGGAAAGCAGAGAGCAGCGGUCUGUGCCAGGUGCCCGGAGGUGGAAGGCCUCGUGACCCCGCACCCUUGAACUCGAGCGUAUAAGGUGCCAGCCUGGAGGAGAGUGGCGCUCAGGAUGCCAGAAUGCCGCCGGUGCAAAGCCGCUGCCUGUCCCGUUACGAGGCCACCCCCAUGGAGCCCUCCAGGAACCAACCCGAGACCCAGGAGUGCCUGCCCCCGCUGCCCCUGCACUUCUGCAUGUGCCCUCACUGCCAGGGGAGCGGCUUCCUCCCACCUCUUUUUGCAAAGUGCUUUGCCCAAAGUUUGUGCACUGUCUCCGGGUGCCCUGGUCCUGCAGGUCGUAACCCAUUAGUGGGUCACGAGGUCAGAGGAAGGUGAGACGUCCAUCAAGGGAAAAGUACAACAGGGCAGAACAGAAUAGACCAGUGCACAUUCCACGUGGAAGGAAGGGGCUCCGUCUCUGAGACAUUUAUGCGGUUGUGCACGUGUGUGCGUCUGUGUGAGUAUGCAUGUGUGCACGUGUGCAGCUUGGGCACGUGAGUCAGGGCUGCAGCAUGCUGCUGUAGACAGGGACACAGAACAUAGCGGCUCAACAAGCUAGAAUGACACUUCCCUCUCCCACGGACCCACCAAGGUGGGCAGGGGGCCGGGAGAGCAAACUCUGGGGGGUCGUGUAGACCCAGACUCCUCCCACUCUGCCCCCCUCCCUGCCCCGAGUGAGACCCUCACCAGCCCCACUAACCCCCGCCUCAGGAGGCCGUGGGGAGGGAGGAAGGGGAGGCAGGUGUUUCCGUUUCCAAGGACUGGCCGGAGGGCGCACACGGCUCCUCCCAUAGGCUGCCGGCGGAGCCUCGUCCCCAGGUCACACCCACUUGCCAGGAGAGACUGAUGGGAAACGCAGCCUUCCCGCUGAGCGCCCAGGCCCCACCCAAACUCAGCUAACAGCGGGCCAGGGAGCAUGGGGCCGGGGAGCACCCUCCGCUGCCCCGGACAUUCUUGCUGGGUGUGUCUGAGACUGUUUGAAGCCAUCGCCUUAUGGACACUCGACCUGUGGGAAACCCCAAGGUCUCCCAAUCUCGUAGAAAGGGCACGGCUGGUCUCCCGCACAGCUCGCCUGCAGUCCCGGUCAGCGCUAAGUGUCACACGCACCGGACGCUCGGCCUCCCGCCCCUCGGCACCGCAGCCGGGAGCCGGGGACGCCUCGAGCAGAGUGGGGUCAUGACCCCCCACACAGGGGUCAAGGGGCAUGAUGACGGGCUGCAGGUAAAAACCGUGGAGCUCCGCUUUUCUCGAAAUCCUCUCUCCCGGGGCUGAAGAGGCGCUGGAGACGGGGCCAGCGAGUCAGCCGAUAAGAGGCUGUGAACUUCCCUUCCCACUCUGAGCAGCCCGACCAGGCGGUGGAUUUCAUGAGAACAGCUCUCUCCUGAGCAUCUCCAGAUGAUCCCAUGGAAAUGCUGCUAUCACCGUAUCCGGGGUUAGACCAGGUCGUCUUCUGAGAGCCCCUAACCUCUUGCCACUCUGAUAACCAGCAGGCCGGGAACUGAAUCCAGGUUGGUCCAUUCCAAGCCACCAGCCUUCUCCCCUUCCCAGAAGUCCAGGAGGCAGGGGUCAGAGUGCAGCCUGCACUUCACUUCGCCCUGUGUGGAGCCCAUGACUCAGGCUCCCUGCCCUCCUCAGCCUCUCCUCUGUAAGAAGCGGGCCAGUAACAGCCCCCUCCCGGGGUUUAUGACCAAACGCGUCCAACUUUCAGGACAGCACAAGACAUGCUGGCUGCCAUGGCCACGGUGCUUCCUAUUCCCACGGAUGUGCCGGGUUCUUUCCUCUGAUGAGCCCAAGGUCUAGGUCAGGACUCCACGCAGGGCGCACUCCGCACCAGGUCCACGCUGAGGCACAGCUGCUGUCCCCUGCCCUCUCCACUGUCUGGGUGGAGCCGUGGAAGCCUCACAGGCCUGGCCAGCUGAUGGCCGCUGCCGGGUGAGCCUUGCUGCCGGCUUGGCGUGGGCGUGUGGGGGUCUUUGACCUUCUGCAAGAUGUGCAGCUUUUCACAGAAACGGAGGCCACCUUUGCAAUCUGGAAAAUAUCUAAUUGCCUCUCACAGGUUCGAAAGCAGCCCCCCCACGCCCCCACGGAGGGCAGAGGCCUCCCCAAGCCAGGAGAGCCUCUGAUUGGCCCUGGCAGGGUGGAGAGAGGGUCAGAUGCUGCUCCUGCUGUGGGGUCAGGCGGAGCCCUCGGGAGGGCGGGGGUGGCGGUGUACAACAGAUGAGAUGACUUCGUGCCCCGAUAAGGAAGCACAAAGCCCCCUCGUGCAGAGGAGGCGGCGGGAGGGAGGGGCCUUAGCGCCCCAGCACAGUGCCUGCCUCACUCUCACAGCUGCGUCGAGUCCGCGAAGCCGCUGAUGCCCCGCCACGUGGCACUCCCGGCCAGUUCACGGGCCUUGCUUCAGCUCGAGGCUGAGAGGCCUGGCUCCCUGCUCCCAGCACUUAGCGUCCAAAUUUCUGGUGUCCUGGGAGAAGCCCAGCAUAUCCCCUCUGGUGCCUUCCCAACCGGAGCCACGGGCAGAAGGCGCCGGAGACAAAAAGGGGCCCAGAAGGCGUUUUCAGAUGGAAGGAGAGGGAAAUCUCUUUUCCAUUUCUCCAUGGAGGACCCAAGGAUAAAGCUGAUUACUGCUCGCCCUCCAGCUCCGGGACGCUCCAACCUGCAAACCACAGCCUGAAAGAGAAACCUCUGCUGCCAGAGGUGCUGAUGGGGAAACGAUUUAGACCUUUGAAAGUUAAGCAAGGGGUUUAUCUUUGGGUCUUAAAUUCGGCAGAAAGGUCAGGAUAGAAAUGAGGUCUCCCCCCAAAUGCAAGUCUGAUCUAUCGUUACCGUGCUGGACACGGAAACUCAAGCCGAACAGCCACGUCUGUGCCUUGCGGGCCCCUACACAGGAUCUCAGGAUCGCCUGAUGUGUUAGGAGGUGACUCGGAGUAAAAGCUCUCUUGGGGGACUCAAUCAGGCCUGGGUUUAGAUCCCAGCUUGGCCCCUCUUAUGAUCUGGGCCACUUCUGUGACUCUCUGAGCCUCAGCUUCCUCCUCUGGGAAAUGGGCACACAACCACCCUGAACAGAACCUUUUGAAAGUGACAGGCUCCGACAUGAACAGGGACCCACCCCAGCAAACCAGGGCUGUCUCGGGAGUCAGCACCCAGAAUGCGCUCCAAGAACGCCACCUCGGCUUGGGGCCUCCCGUUCUCAAGCCCAGGUCCUCUCGGACACCCCCUCGCAACUCUGAAGUUUGUUUUGGUGGCCAGUGGCGGAGACAGGGAGGGUGGUUCCUACUCUGACGAGGCAGGUGAGCUGACCCUGGAGCAGAGGCUACCCCGUUUUAUGUGCCUGUUGCGGACGUGAGGUGGGGCACUCCCUUCGGCGACAUCGGAGUGGAGCUGCUGUCCCAGAGGCGUCCAGGGGGCGUUUUGCAGACCCUCCCUGGCCCCGGUCAGGCCCUGUCUGCAGGGCCCAGCAUCUGAGAAGCCCCUUGGAGCUGGCGGCUCGUCGUCGGCCGCCUUCCUCCGGGCACCACGCUGACGUUUCUCCUUCACCAUCUUCGAAGCUGCCCGUCCUUUUCAGGAGAAGAAGGCAAGGCCGUGGUCUGACGUUCCAGGAACCCCUGAAGGAGGAAUGCGGAAAAUCCAACGGGCUGGGCCCCAUCCAGCGGGUCCUCCGGGGAGAGAAGGGAUUUCGCAGGCUAAUGGCUGGGCCUCCGACGCUGACAUCUUCUUAUGAUGUACUUAAGUCCGGUUUGUUUUGCUUUCUGUCUCCACAACAAUUACCGAGAUUUAUUUUUUAUUGCUCCGGUUCACUCUGCCAGGACCACACUUCCUUUUCUCUUUAAAGGAACAGCCACCCCGCAUGGAGGGGCCUAGGAAGUGAGCAUUUUCAAUUGCAAAAAUGAAAAUAAACAAGGCUGCACGCCUCUUCUGGAGCAGGCCGCUGCUUCCCCGGUGCGCAGUGCCAGAGGGGCUUCUGGCUCUUCUCUGCUCGACACAUGGGUUCACCCCGCGACUCCGCUGCAGCCCCUGUGAGGCCGGUUGUCACAGAGACACUGUCUUCCCUGGGGGCUCCUCAGAGGACCCCCGGGAGCUCAAAGGCACUUUGUUCUCAACGCCGGGUGACGGGGAAGAGGAGUGUGAGUUUCCCAGUGCUGCUGUGCCUUUCCAAGGUGCCAGUUUGGACUAAGGGCCCCGUGGGUGUCUGGUAUCUGGCCUGGCCCUGUCUUUCCUGGGAGGCCCUCUGCUAGGAAGGUGAAGCGCCCUGCUGGUGCCAUGCGGCGAGGCGGGGCCAUUCCAUGGAGGGAGAGGGAGCACCAGGGCCAGGUGGGCACCGUCCCUCCAGAUCCUGGCUGUGGGACCCGGGAAAGGCACGCCCCCUCUCUGAGCCCUGGUUUCACCCGGGAAACCCCUGCCUGCUUGGUGGCUGUGAGCAUCCCCGAGACCACGGUGGCAAUGGGCUUGCCAGCCUGGCCAAGGUGCCCGUGAUAUGAUGAAUGGCGUGUAAUGAAUGGCUGCAUCUUGAGACAGGAGAUGGACCUGGAUUCUCCGGGUGGGUCCCAUGCAACGACAAGGGCCUUCUAAGAGGGAGGCAGGAGGUCAGAGUCACAGGAGGAGAUGUGACGACAGAAGUAGAGUGACAUGGGCCCACCAGCCAAGGGAGUGGGCGCCUCGAGAAGCUGGAAAAGGCACAGGAACGAUUCUCCUCUGGCGCCUCCAGAGGGAACCAGCCCUGCGACACCCUGACCCGACCCAGUGAGACCCACUUCUGACCUGCCGACGGUGAGAGCCCACCUGUGUCCUUUAGGCCUCUAGGUCUGUGGUCACUCGCUCCAGCAGCGCCAGGAAGGGAGCGCAGUGCCGGAAGCGGCCAUCGCAUCAUCAGCAGUGGGGGCGAGCCUGCCCCCCGGCUGCUCUCAGGCUCCACGUUGGCCUCCCAUGCCCUGGGAAGGCACGCCUGUCCCUCCAUGCCCUCGUUCCCUCAUUCAUUCCUUCCUGAGCACCCAGAGUCCGCGAGACUCGCUGGGCCGAUGCCCCCUGCCCUCGCUUGCUCCCCCAUCUUGGGCGGAGCCAGAGUUACCUUCCAAAACCAGGUCAGGCCACACCCCCUCUGCCUAGGCCCCGUCCCCGUGUCCUGGUCCUUCCUCUGCCCUCCCUCUGGCUCUGCCUCCUGGCCCAGGGCACCCGUGCCAGCUGCUGCCCCUCGGUGCAUGUCUCCCCCCGGGGGUGGGGAGGGGGGACACUGCCUCCCCCUCUUUGGGUCUUUACUCUUCUGCACCUUCUAGCCAGGCCCUCUCGAGCGCCCUCUCCCCUCUCCUGCUUCAGCCCCGUCCCUUCGCAACCCCCACAUUUUCCUCUUAGGCAUAUGCUUUCCGUCUCCCCGCUGGAAGUAAGCACCUUCAAGGCAGAGGUUUUCACUGAUUUGUUCCCCGAGGUAUCCUCAGUGCCUGCACACAGCAGGGACUCAACAAACAGUUGCAGAAUAAAUGAACACAGGCUACGGUCUUUAAAGCCAGAUUCCGAGCAGCUCUUCAAACUCUUCUAGAGUCUCAGCAUUUCAUGUUCUACUUGCAUUGGCUGCUGGCUCUUCUGGAAACACAGCUCUUGUUCAGGCCUCUGUAAUUCUGCACAGGUGAACUCCUUCUCGGCCUGGUGAACUCCUAUUCGUCCUUCAAAACCCAGCUCCUUUGCAGACCUUCCUCUAAAUCUUUCAUUCCCGCUGUUUGGUUCCCACCGCCCCCCCCAUGCAUUUCUAAAACACUUCAUGCUUCCUUUUAUUGGCGAAUUCAUUGUUUAGAGUUUGACUUUUUUUCCUCUUUUUCUGGCCGCCCUGUAGCAUGUGGACUUCCCGGGCCAGGGAUCAAAUCUGAGCCAGAGUGAAAACAUUCACCACAGCUGCGGUAACACCAGAUCCUUAACCCACUGCAUCAGGCAGGGGAUUGAACUCGCAUCCCUGCCACUGUGGAGACACCACGGAUCCCAUUGCACCACAGCGGGAAUUCCAGAGUUUUUUUUAAACCCAUCUGUUUCCCUGAUCAGACUGUUAAGAUGACUCUUCCUUGUUUGUUUCCUGUGCCAUCUAGAGACUCCCUGACUCACAGCAGAUGAACAGAAACACUGAGUGGAUGGAUGGACGGAUGGGUUGGGUGGGUGGGGACAGAAACUCUGUCUCAUUGGACUCUGGGUCUUACUCACGGAGCACAGUCUCUGGUACCCAGUAGGUAUCCAGGGAACUCUCUCACCCGUGAGGACAGGGACGUAGCUCUGCUUUGUCCACUGCUGCGAUCCCGGUCCUAGAGCAGCGUCUGGCUCGUAGCAGGCACCCGGAAAUGCUUGACGAGUGAGUGCAGAUGGGCACCUGCUUCCACCAGCCCUCUCCCCGAGGUGAGCGAUGGCCGGGGCUGCAGAAGGCGAAGGGGCCUCUAGCUGCCCUGAGGUCUCUCCCUCCAGCCUCACACACACGCGUCCACACAGAUCAGAACAUGUUUGAUGGGGGGAGAGGGGAAGGGGUCUCUGAGGCCAAAUCUCCCCUUAAAUAAGGGCACCACUCACACUGCAUGAGCGCCCACCCUAAGGACCUCAUUUUAAAUAGUCACGUCUGGAACCCCCGCCCCCCGCCCCAUUUGCCCGAUGGCCACGCUCCCAGGCUCCCGGUGGAGACUUCCACACAAGAAUCCAACCCUAUCGCCCUGGCAGGACCCGCAUCCGUCCGUGUCCACCGUCACGAACGCCUCCUUCCUCCAGCUGCCCGGGCACUUCCACGUUCCUCUUCUACGUGUGCCCUGAGUUUAAACUCCGUGCAGGCAGGGAGCUUGGUUUGGCUGGUACGCUGCUGUGUCUCCGCACCCCCGAAUCACGCCUGGCACAUAGUAGGGGCUGGAUAAAUGUUUGCUGAAUGAGUGAACGUGAGACCCGCCUCCCGCGUCCUCUGUUAGACUGUGCGCCCGCCCAGGGCAGGUCCGCGGUGGCUCUCUCGGGGCAGAUACUCGGCGAAUGCUUGGGGAGUAGAAUCACUCUUUGGGCCAGCAGCGAAAUUUCCUGUGACUCAGUAAAUCACUUUAGCUAAUGAAGGAAUAACAAUCCCAGAGGAACAGAAGUUUCAACUAUGCAGAUUAUUUCUGAGUUUUUAAAAGUGUCUCUUCAAAGAAAUAAGUCCCCAGGGACUGCCGGCUCUCCAGAAAGCCUGACUUUCCACUCUCUUAAGCAGCUCAUGUUGGCCCCGAGACAAGAUCCAGUUGGUGGUUUUAAUAAAUAAUGCUUUUUGUGCUACGAGAGUAACAUUGAGCAAAUGUACAGAAGUAGAAGGAAUUAAGAAAAAAAUAACCCUCCCGCCACAGACAGCCAGGUUGUUAACAUGUCAUUGUAUUUCCUCCCG
Non-coding RNA from Sus scrofa (pig), 8898 nucleotides. Lineage: Eukaryota; Metazoa; Chordata; Mammalia; Artiodactyla; Suidae. The record is from RefSeq and is a predicted model, not a curated record.